AGUGAACGCUGGCGGCGUGCUUAACACAUGCAAGUCGAACGAGAACGGAUUAUAGCUUGCUAUAAUUGUCAGCUAAGUGGCGCACGGGUGAGUAAUGUAUAGAUAACCUGCCCUCUAGAAAGGAAUAACAGUUGGAAACGACUGCUAAUGCCCUAUAAGCCUUUAAUACAUAAGUAUGCAAGGGAAACGCUUUAGUGCUAGAGGAUGGGUCUGUAUGGUAUCAGUUAGUUGGUGAGGUAAUGGCUCACCAAGACUAUGACGCCUAACUGGUUUGAGAGGAUGAUCAGUCACACUGGAACUGAGACACGGUCAGACUCCUACGGGAGGCAGCAGUAGGGAAUAUUGCACAAUGGACGAAAGUCUGAUGCAGCAACGCCGCGUGGAGGAUGACACAUUUCGGUGCGUAAACUCCUUUUAUAUAGGAAGAUAAUGACGGUACUACAUGAAUAAGCACCGGCUAACUCCGUGCCAGCCGCCGCCGUAA
RNAcentral lists this ribosomal RNA (484 nucleotides) under uncultured bacterium. Its description in RNAcentral is "partial 16S ribosomal RNA". It matches the Rfam family "Bacterial small subunit ribosomal RNA", at positions 29 to 523 of the family's 1533-position model. The record is from RNAcentral.